AACGACUCUCGGCAACGGAUAUCUCGGCUCUCGCAUCGAUGAAGAACGUAGCGAAAUGCGAUACUUGGUGUGAAUUGCAGAAUCCCGUGAACCAUCGAGUUUUUGAACGCAAGUUGCGCCCGAAGCCUYUGGCUGAGGGNNNNUCUGCCUGGGCG
RNAcentral lists this ribosomal RNA (155 nucleotides) under Viscaria alpina. Its description in RNAcentral is "5.8S ribosomal RNA". It matches the Rfam family "5.8S ribosomal RNA". Rfam says of the family: 5.8S ribosomal RNA (5.8S rRNA) is a component of the large subunit of the eukaryotic ribosome. It is transcribed by RNA polymerase I as part of the 45S precursor that also contains 18S and 28S rRNA. Lineage: Eukaryota; Viridiplantae; Streptophyta; Magnoliopsida; Caryophyllales; Caryophyllaceae. The record is from RNAcentral.